Molecule: unclassified non-coding RNA, 332 nt
Filed under: soil metagenome
Description: partial contains 5.8S ribosomal RNA, internal transcribed spacer 2, and large subunit ribosomal RNA
Rfam family: 5.8S ribosomal RNA (bases 1-120)
Source: RNAcentral
GAUGAAGAACGUAGCGAAAUGCGAUAAGUAGUGUGAAUUGCAGAAUUCAGUGAAUCAUCGAAUCUUUGAACGCACAUUGCGCCCUUUGGUAUUCCUUAGGGCAUGCCUGUUCGAGCGUCAUUUAAACCUUCAAGCUAAGCUUGGUGUUGGGUGACUGUCCGCUUCACGGCGGACUCGCCUCAAAAUUAUUGGCGGCCGGUACAUUGGCUUCGAGCGCAGCAGAAACGCGAACUCGGGCCCGUCGUAUUGGCUCCCAGAAGCUAUCUUCACAAUUUUGACCUCGAAUCAGGUAGGGAUACCCGCUGAACUUAAGCAUAUCAAUAAGCGGAGGA